UACGGAGGGGGCUAGCGUUGUUCGGAAUUACUGGGCGUAAAGCGCGCGUAGGCGGACCUGCAAGUCGGGGGUGAAAGCCCGAGGCUCAACCUCGGAACUGCCUUCGAUACUGCGGGUCUCGAGUCCGGGAGAGGUGAGUGGAAUUCCUAGUGUAGAGGUGAAAUUCGUAGAUAUCGGGAGGAACACCAGUGGCGAAGGCGACUACCUGGCCUGUUUCUUGACGCUGAGGCGCGAAAGCUAGGGGAGCAAACGGG
This 254-nucleotide ribosomal RNA is filed under the name uncultured bacterium. RNAcentral's name for it is "partial 16S ribosomal RNA". It matches the Rfam family "Bacterial small subunit ribosomal RNA", at positions 524 to 776 of the family's 1533-position model. The record is from RNAcentral.